RNAcentral lists this unclassified non-coding RNA (333 nucleotides) under Hevea brasiliensis (rubber tree). The record is from RNAcentral. Lineage: Eukaryota; Viridiplantae; Streptophyta; Magnoliopsida; Malpighiales; Euphorbiaceae.
UUCCUUUUUUUUUUUUUUUAAGCAAUUAUCCUUGUUCAUGGUAUUGCUUGUCUUCAUUAACACAGAAAAAUUGUACAAUUUACUGCUUCAGAGGAUGAAAAACAGCAGGGAAAUGCCUCAACUUGUAACUCUCCCAUCCAGAUAUUAUUUUAAGCCUUGAUAUAUGGUAUGACUAUUGGUGUCGCACAGAGAAAACCAUAAUGGAAUUUUGCUUUCCCCUGGGAAAAAAUAGUCAAAGAUGGAGAUGGACAAUUUAAUUUUUGAACCAAUGUUGGGCAAAUGCGUAUGUGGUCCUGAUUUUAGUUGGAAGGAUAUGACCCGUUAAAAUUUACA